RNAcentral lists this ribosomal RNA (588 nucleotides) under uncultured bacterium. Its description in RNAcentral is "partial 16S ribosomal RNA". It matches the Rfam family "Bacterial small subunit ribosomal RNA", at positions 355 to 1375 of the family's 1533-position model. The record is from RNAcentral.
UGGGGAAUUUUGGACAAUGGGCGAAAGCCUGAUCCGGCAAUGCCGCGUGUGUGAAGAAGGCCUUCGGGUUGUAAAGCACUUUUGUCCGGAAAGAAAUCCUUGGCUCUAAUACAGUCGGGGGAUGACGGUACCGGAAGAAUAAGCACCGGCUAACUACGUGCCAGCAGCCGCGGUAAUACGUAGGGUGCAAGCGUUAAUCGGAAUUACUGGGCGUAAAGCGUGCGCAGGCGGUUUGCUAAGACCGAUGUGAAAUCCCCGGGCUCAACCUGGGAACUGCAUUGGUGACUGGCAGGCUAGAGUAUGGCAGAGGGGGGUAGAAUUCCACGUGUAGCAGUGAAAUGCGUAGAGAUGUGGAGGAAUACCGAUGGCGAAGGCAGCCCCCUGGGCCAAAUACUGACGCUCAUGCACGAAAAGCGUGGGGAGCAAACAGGAUUAGAUACCCUGGUAGUCCACGCCCUAAAACGAUGUCAACUAGUUGUUGGGGAUUCAUUUCCUUAGUAACGUAGCUAACGCGUGAAGUUGACCGCCUGGGGAGUACGGUCGCAAGAUUAAAACUUAAAUGAAUUGACGGGGUCAUAGCUGUUUCCU